CAAUACAAGGGAAGACCUAGUGGCGAACGGGUGCGUAACACGUGAGGAACUUGUCCCGGUCUCUGGGAUAACAGUUGGAAACGACUGCUAAUACCGGAUGACGUCGGAAUCUCGCAUGGGAUACUGACGAAAGGGUUACUGGAUCGGGAGAGCCUCGCGGCCUAUCAGCUUGUUGGUGAGGUAACGGCUCACCAAGGCAUCGACGGGUAGCUGGUCUGAGAGGAUGAUCAGCCACACUGGGACUGAGACACGGCCCAGACUCCUACGGGAGGCAGCAGUGGGGAAUCUUGCGCAAUGGGCGAAAGCCUGACGCAGCAACGCCGCGUGCGGGAAGUAGGCCCCUCCGGUUGUAAACCGCUUUCAGCAGGAACGAAAAUGACGGUACCUGCAGAAGAAGGUGCGGCCAACUACGUGCCAGCAGCCGCCGUGACACGUAGGCACCAAGCGUUGUUCCGAUUUAUUGGGCGUAAAGAGCUCGUAGGCGGUUUCGGCAAGUCGGGUGUGAAAAACUUUGGGCUUAACCCACAGCC
Molecule: ribosomal RNA, 530 nt
Filed under: uncultured bacterium
Lineage: Bacteria
Description: bacterial SSU rRNA
Rfam family: Bacterial small subunit ribosomal RNA
Source: RNAcentral